This is a long non-coding RNA of Ornithorhynchus anatinus (platypus), 4110 nucleotides long. RefSeq lists it as uncharacterized. The transcript has 4 exons. The record is from RefSeq and is a predicted model, not a curated record. NCBI's taxonomy places the organism in Eukaryota, Metazoa, Chordata, Mammalia, Monotremata, Ornithorhynchidae.
UCACCCUCUGAGGAUUUGCAUUUAAAAUGUUUAAUUAAAUUUAGUUUAGUUUAAAAAUGUUAAAAUCUAAAAUGAGAUUUGUGUUUAAAAUGUUUCCUCUUUCCUCUCUUUUUAAGGUUUCUCCUUUAUCAGCUCACAAAAGAUCAGCUGUUUGGAUACACAGUCUAUUCCACUCACAUGACCCACCUAGCAAAAGCGUGGUAGCUGAAGGAUUUGAUUGCAUUCCAGGACCUCACUGUAUGCUUUGCACAUAGUAAGUGCUCAAUAAAUACUAUUAAAUGAAUGUAAUCCUAACUGGCCAUUUAAUGUUCUCUUAAGUGGCAACUCUGGGACUUCCUGGGAGUGAUGCAGGAGUCAGUCCAGUCCCAGGGGCCAGCACGGACCCCCUCUUGGCCUGGGGCUGCCUAGCUGAGGAUUCAUUCAGCUCUCAAUCCAAGAGGGAGCUGGAUCAGCAGCGAGAUGACGUGAGUGAAGACCCUUCCCCUAAAUCCAGGAGAGGGGAGGGAUGGGAGCGGGACAGAGGGUGACUUGUCCCUUCAGCUCCCUCUGGACCAGUUGUUCCCUACAAGGAGGUGGCCCAGUGGGAUGUGAUUUAGCUUGUGGGGGACUCUGGUCCAGGAGGAAAUGAAUGCCAAUGCCAUGGUAAGGGGAAUACAUGGUGGUCUUGCAGCUUCAGCUGCUCCUUGGGGAGUACCAUAUAGCCCCCCCACCAAGAGGCAAAACAAACCCAGAAAGAAGGGGAGGAUGGGGAGCCAGAAGGUGUUUUGGUCAAAGAGAAAAUAGCAAAAGAGCCCUCUCCACCAAAUCCUGUUCAACCCUACGCCUUCCCCAUAGUGUAGUGUUCCUCCGGUACCCUUCUUUACCUGGUUCUGCAUGUAUUUGGCAAUACCAAGUGAUAGAGUGUUUGGACAGGGCAGUCCUGGGCCAUGCUGCCGAAUGGUGUGGUCCCUCCUGGAGCCUGAAGCCAGCAUGCAUGUGUUCCUGUCUCAAUCAAUCAAUGGAAUUUAUUGAGCACUUAAUGAGUGCAGAGUCUGUCUCUCUAGACCCUCAACCUCUUCCACCUCUCCUCUGUGGGAAGACCUAUGGAGAGAUGACCUCCCAAUGCUGAAUCCAGUGUCCCUGACUCAUUUGCAUCCUUUAGAACCCAAUCUGAACUCACCCUGGCCCCAGCGUCUACUUGCAAGGUACAGCAGUUGGAGGUGGCCACACCAGCUUCUCAUGGUUCCUUAUGGCUGGAACUUGGCUUAAUCUUCUCUUUGAUUUCUGGAUCUUCAGGAGUCAAUGUGCUCACCAGAGAACAGAGGCCACACUCACACCCGGCAAUUGAACUCGUGCUUUCAAAGACCCCCGAGGGCACAGUGAGAAGCUGGAUGGAAACCACAACUACCAGUAGAAUAAACGUAAACAUUUAAUGUCACUAUAGUUUCUCUUAAACACCAGAUUUUUGACAAUAUGCUUCACACCUCAUAUACCACAAAAGGUGAGAGUUCAUUUUCCAUCAAACAAUAAACUUCACAUUGGUCAUUCAUGGCAAAAGGCUGAAUGGAUUUAUGUGGGUGAACUCGCAAGAGGUCCAAGGUUUGGGUCUUACCUACGCUUUAGGCAGCUGCUUUUCCUUUUGUCUAUCGAACGACAGCUCGGCCAAGAUAGACAUAUAGCUCUGUAUCUGUUUCUCAUAUAUAUACAUGUAUGUUCUAUCUACUGUAUACAUACUGUCUCUGUUCUACUUCUCUAGAAUAAAAAUUUGCUGCUGACUGUGUCAUCAUCAGGACUUUCAUUGUAAACCAAGACAAAGUGACUGGGAUCCUGUGGGAUCUUACCUGAUUCAAGCCUUAGGCUUUGGGAUUGGGCCCUAAUCCUUGUCCCCUCUGGUUUAUCCACUGUCUCUCCCUCCCUCCCGUUUCUCAACCAAUAUAGGUGGUCCUGGAGUGAGAAAGAACACGGCCACAGACAGGAUGAAAUGGAUCCAGCAAUUGUACACUUCAAUGCAUAGCACUUAGAUAAGCAUUUCCAACCAUGAUGGGUAAAUAAAUUAUAAAAUACAAGCGACUCUAUAAAACAAGAACAUCCUGAGUUUACAAAUAAAUUAGAUCCUCUUCAUACAUCACAAAUCAUCAUGUGGGGGUGAUUGGCAGUUUCAGCUAUGGAGAUGGAAGGAUUUGGACCGUAAAAUAUAAGGAAGUUAAUUUCUAGGUUCCGAAAACAUGUGUGUGAGCCUUACAGAGAUACUCCCUUCCCCCACCCUGUCCCUCCCCCCAACCCCUCCCCCACACACAUACACUGGUGAGUACAUCCCUAACUAGAGUAUAUCGAUUAUAUGCAACAGAUCGGACUGAAACUGCCUCAAGCACCAUUUUAUUUCUGGAAUUCUUAAGUAUGCUCAGUAUAGAGUAGGACCACUCCAAGUCAGAAUGUGUUCCUUGGAGAGCUGAAAGGUCAUUUUAUAAAUUUCAGAAGCUUUUUUUUUUCUUUUUAUGCACAUUUAGGUUUCGCUUCCAAGGGGCCUGGCUGGCCGGAAUGCCACUGCUGCCCUGAAACCGUCAGUCGGUGAGCCCUAAGAUUCCACUGGGGGCCUUUUGUUAUCUGGGGAGGCGGGUUUGGAGCCUUUUGGCAAGCUGAAGGGGUACUAAGGGGAAAUUGCGUUUGAACUGGAAGACAGAGAACAUGAUGGUGUUGAGGACUCAAAGUUCCUUGCGUUUAGGUUUUAAGCCUUGGUUACUUGGCCAAGCAGCCUGGUCCCUUCCUUGGGUGACCCAAAAACCACCCACCUCAGGCAGAUGCCGGGAGCCUACACCCCAAAAAGAGAGGAACUAAAAGAGCCUGGCCAACCCUAUAGUCUGGACCAAAGCGCCCCACCCCUCCCCAAGUCCACUCCUUGACUCAGUGCCUCUUUGUUGCUCAAGCCCCAAGUGGUGUAUGAUAUUUCUGUCCCCUUUAAUGCUCUUGAUUGGCAGUUUACCCUAGAAAAAGCAAGAGGGAAAGGGUGUCCACUUAAGAGUCAAAAGAGCCUCAGGCCCCAGGUCAAAAGCUGCUCCAUCUGACCAGAGUGAGGCCAGAAUCCCACUCUUCUACCACACCCUGUGGCUGCCUGACUCCAUGUUUACUGAACCUUUUUGUGUGUCCAUCCUCCAGCCGGGGCAGUGGUACAUACCACACUUGGCCCGAUAAAGGUCAGAGGACAGCAUCCGGGGCCCGUACCAGCCAAGAUUAAGGGUUGCCAGGAAAGGGAGAAAGUAAGAAAAGCAUAGGAUUAAAAAAAACAAACCCACCUCUACCUUUCAGCUGGAAAUCAAAAGCAUGCUGGCCAUACAGCUUUUGAGCCAGAAAGGGCUGAAGUCAGCAGAGGCCACACAAAAGCCCCUUUUCUAAUGGGUUUCUUCAGUGUUUCCGGAUGCUUCCAGCCCCAGUCACCAUCUGGUGUGAGCAGAGGACAGGACCUGUUGUAGGAGAAAGAUGAGACACAGAGAUGCCCUGCAGUAACACCUGUAACGUGGUAUAAUUUGACAUUCUCCAUGGGGGAAAGAAAAGAAAACCUAAAACACAACUUUAGGAAAGUUAAUGGCUGAAAAAAUAUGAGCCAUGGUUCCCCUGAAAGGGCAGUCAAGAUACAAGAGACUUACAAUAAGCCCAGAGUCCCGCACAGAAGGAGAAGCCUCAGUUGAUGGCAAGCGGAAAUGUGUGACUUCAACUCCUUUGGCAGGAAAUUGAAAUGACUGCAGUGAAGAUUUUUGAGUUUGGGGGUGAGAUGAAAUUGUGAUCUCCAUUCCCAAACACAAAAGUGAAGUGAAGGAAGGAGCUCUCAGAAAGGGCUGAAGUGGUAGCCCAUCUGCACGUGCCAAGAUUGACAGUAGCCUGGGCCCAUGAACAAGGGUCUUCAGGAUCACUUGGGUCUAAGGGGCGAGAAAUGGGAGAGUUCUGCACUUGGUUUGGAAAGGAAAAUGACCUACCUAUUCCUUGGAAAGCAACAGAGCCUGGUAGGAAAAGCACAGGACAAGGGCCUAGAUCAGUUCCUAGGCCCCUUGGUAUUAAUUUUCUGGCAUUUAGUAAGCACUGGGUUGGCUACAAGGUAAACAGAUUGGAAACAGUGCCUGUCCUUUACGGGGCUCACAG